AGAGUUUGAUCAUGGCUCAGGACGAACGCUGGCGGCGGGCCUAACACAUGCAAGUCGAACGCACUCGACCUUCGGGUCAUAUGAGUGAGUGGCGAACGGGUGAGUAACACGUGAGAAACCUGCCCCGAAGACUGGAAUAACCCGAGGAAACUCGGGCUAAUACCGGAUGCCCCCAACUGAUCGCAUGAUCAGUUGAGGAAAUGCUCCGGCGCUUCGGGAGGGUCUCGCGGCCUAUCAGCUAGUUGGUGAGGUAACGGCUCACCAAGGCAACGACGGGUAGCUGGUCUGAGAGGACGAUCAGCCACACUGGGACUGAGACACGGCCCAGACUCCUACGGGAGGCAGCAGUGGGGAAUCUUGCGCAAUGGACGAAAGUCUGACGCAGCCACGCCGCGUGAGGGAUGAAGGCUUUCGGGUCGUAAACCUCUUUCAGCAGGGAAGAAAAUGACGGUACCUGCAGAAGAAGCUCCGGCCAACUACGUGCCAGCAGCCGCGGUAACACGUAGGGAGCAAGCGUUGUCCGGAUUUAUUGGGCGUAAAGAGCUCGUAGGCUGUUCAGUAAGUCAGGUGUGAAAACUCGAGGCUCAACCUCGAGACGCCACUUGAUACUGCUGUGACUAGAGUCCGGUAGAGGAGUGUGGAAUUCCUGGUGUAGCGGUGAAAUGCGCAGAUAUCAGGAGGAACACC
RNAcentral lists this ribosomal RNA (687 nucleotides) under uncultured bacterium. RNAcentral describes it as "bacterial SSU rRNA". It matches the Rfam family "Bacterial small subunit ribosomal RNA", at positions 8 to 710 of the family's 1533-position model. The record is from RNAcentral.